RNAcentral lists this ribosomal RNA (119 nucleotides) under Pteropus alecto (black flying fox). The record is from RNAcentral. Lineage: Eukaryota; Metazoa; Chordata; Mammalia; Chiroptera; Pteropodidae.
GUCUAUGGCUAUGCCAUCCUGAACAAGUCCAAUCCUGUCUGAUCUCAGAAGCUAAGCAGGGUCAGGCCUGGUUAGUACUUGGAUGGGAGACCACCUCAGAAGACCAGGUGCUGCAGGCA